Molecule: ribosomal RNA, 497 nt
Filed under: uncultured bacterium
Lineage: Bacteria
Description: partial 16S ribosomal RNA
Rfam family: Bacterial small subunit ribosomal RNA
Source: RNAcentral
GACGAACGCUGGCGGCGUGCCUAAUACAUGCAAGUUGAGCGCUGAAGGUUGGUACUUGUACCAACUGGAUGAGCAGCGAACGGGCGAGUAACGCGUGGGGAAUCUGCCUUUGAGCGGGGGACAACAUUUGGAAACGAAUGCUAAUACCGCAUAAAAACUUUAAACACAAGUUUUAAGUUUGAAAGAUGCAAUUGCAUCACUCAAAGAUGAUCCCGCGCUGUAUUAGCUAGUUGGUGAGGUAAAGGCUCACCAAGGCGAUGAUACAUAGCCGACCUGAGAGGGUGAUCGGCCACAUUGGGACUGAGACACGGCCCAAACUCCUACGGGAGGCAGCAGUAGGGAAUCUUCGGCAAUGGACGGAAGUCUGACCGAGCAACGCCGCGUGAGUGAAGAAGGUUUUCGGAUCGUAAAACUCUGUUGGUAGAGAAGAACGUUGGUGAGAGUGGAAAGCUCAUCAAGUGACGGUAACUACCCAGAAAGGGACGGCUAACUACGUG